This 465-nucleotide ribosomal RNA is filed under the name uncultured Klebsiella sp. RNAcentral describes it as "bacterial SSU rRNA". It matches the Rfam family "Bacterial small subunit ribosomal RNA", at positions 338 to 795 of the family's 1533-position model. Lineage: Bacteria; Pseudomonadati; Pseudomonadota; Gammaproteobacteria; Enterobacterales; Enterobacteriaceae. The record is from RNAcentral.
CCUACGGGUGGCUGCAGUGGGGAAUAUUGCACAAUGGGCGCAAGCCUGAUGCAGCCAUGCCGCGUGUGUGAAGAAGGCCUUCGGGUUGUAAAGCACUUUCAGCGGGGAGGAAGGCGGUGAGGUUAAUAACCUCAUCGAUUGACGUUACCCGCAGAAGAAGCACCGGCUAACUCCGUGCCAGCAGCCGCGGUAAUACGGAGGGUGCAAGCGUUAAUCGGAAUUACUGGGCGUAAAGCGCACGCAGGCGGUCUGUCAAGUCGGAUGUGAAAUCCCCGGGCUCAACCUGGGAACUGCAUUCGGAACUGGCAGGCUAGAGUCCUGUAGAGGGGGGUAGAAUUCCAGGUGUAGCGGUGAAAUGCGUAGAGAUCUGGAGGAAUACCGGUGGCGAAGGCGGCCCCCUGGACAAAGACUGACGCUCAGGUGCGAAAGCGUGGGGAGCAAACAGGAUUAGAUACCCCGGUAGUC